This 460-nucleotide ribosomal RNA is filed under the name uncultured bacterium. RNAcentral describes it as "partial 16S ribosomal RNA". It matches the Rfam family "Bacterial small subunit ribosomal RNA", at positions 338 to 795 of the family's 1533-position model. The record is from RNAcentral.
CCUACGGGAGGCAGCAGUGAGGAAUAUUGGUCAAUGGACGCAAGUCUGAACCAGCCAUGCCGCGUGCAGGAAGACGGCUCUAUGAGUUGUAAACUGCUUUUGUACGAGGGUAAACGCAGAUACGCGUAUCUGUCUGAAAGUAUCGUACGAAUAAGGACCGGCGAACUCCGUGCCAGCAGCCGCGGUAAUACGGAGGAUACAAGCGUUAUCCGGAUUUAUUGGGGUGAAAGGGUGCGUAGGCGGUCGGAGAAGUUAGAGGUGAAAUUCCGAGACUCAACUUCGGAAUUGCCUCUGAUACUGUUCGGCUAGAGAGUAGUUGCGGUAGGCGGAAUGUAUGGUGUAGCGGUGAAAUGCUUAGAGAUCAUACAGAACACCGGUUGCGAAGGCAGCUUACCAGGCUACUUCUGACGUUGAGGCACGAAAGCGUGGGGAGCAAACAGGAUUAGAUACCCGGGUAGUC